This 207-nucleotide ribosomal RNA is filed under the name uncultured bacterium. Its description in RNAcentral is "partial 16S ribosomal RNA". It matches the Rfam family "Bacterial small subunit ribosomal RNA", at positions 568 to 774 of the family's 1533-position model. The record is from RNAcentral.
GGCGUAGGCGGAGAUGUAAGUCAGAUGUGAAAGCCCGGGGCUCAACCUCGGAACAGCAUUUGAAACUAUAUUUCUUGAGGAUAGGCGGAGAAAACGGAAUUCCGCAUGUAGCGGUGAAAUGCGUAGAUAUGUGGAAGAACACCGGUGGCGAAGGCGGUUUUCUAGCUUAUUCCUGACGCUGAGGCCCGAAAGCUAGGGGAGCGAACA